GAUGUACAAGAGUGGCACACCAAAAAAGGGCGUUGACAUUUUGGCUUAUGCCUGAAGAAAAUAUAGUGUUAUUUACAUUGCUUUCAUUUUCUCCACAGAACAAGCACGAUUUUACUCACCUUUUCCUGGAACCUUGUCAUUGUAACUUAUAACAUGAGAAUGUAUACAUAGCAUUACGAUGGUAGUGAUUGCCUAUGCACGAACUUGUUUAUAUCUUAUGUUUGCCAAGAAUUACACAAGUUUCAUGAUCUGGAACUUUCUUAUUGUCAUUGCAAU
RNAcentral lists this unclassified non-coding RNA (276 nucleotides) under Hevea brasiliensis (rubber tree). Lineage: Eukaryota; Viridiplantae; Streptophyta; Magnoliopsida; Malpighiales; Euphorbiaceae. The record is from RNAcentral.